ACCACCGAUCGUUGACUGUACC
Molecule: microRNA, 22 nt
Filed under: Ophiophagus hannah (king cobra)
Lineage: Eukaryota; Metazoa; Chordata; Lepidosauria; Squamata; Elapidae
Description: oha-miR-181a-1-3p
Gene: oha-miR-181a-1-3p
Source: miRBase by way of RNAcentral